GACGAACGCUGGCGGCGUGCCUAAUACAUGCAAGUCGAGCGGACUUAAAAAGCUUGCUUUUUAAGUUAGCGGCGGACGGGUGAGUAACACGUGGGCAACCUGCCUGUAAGACUGGGAUAACUUCGGGAAACCGGAGCUAAUACCGGAUAAUCCUUUCCUACUCAUGUAGGAAAGCUGAAAGACGGUUUACGCUGUCACUUACAGAUGGGCCCGCGGCGCAUUAGCUAGUUGGUGAGGUAACGGCUCACCAAGGCGACGAUGCGUAGCCGACCUGAGAGGGUGCUCGGCCACACUGGGACUGAGACACGGCCCAGACUCCGACGGGAGGCAGCAGUAGGGAAUCUUCCGCAAUGGACGAAAGUCUGACGGAGCAACGCCGCGUGAGUGAUGAAGGUUUUCGGAUCGUAAAACUCUGUUGUUAGGGAAGAACAAGUACGAGAGUAACUGCUCGUACCUUGACGGUACCUAACCAGAAAGCCACGGCUAACUACGUGCCAGCCGCCGCAGUAA
Molecule: ribosomal RNA, 510 nt
Filed under: uncultured bacterium
Lineage: Bacteria
Description: partial 16S ribosomal RNA
Rfam family: Bacterial small subunit ribosomal RNA
Source: RNAcentral